This 468-nucleotide ribosomal RNA is filed under the name uncultured bacterium. Its description in RNAcentral is "partial 16S ribosomal RNA". It matches the Rfam family "Bacterial small subunit ribosomal RNA", at positions 28 to 507 of the family's 1533-position model. The record is from RNAcentral.
GACGAACGCUGGCGGCGUGCUUAACACAUGCAAGUCGAACGGAAAGGCCCUGCUUUUGUGGGGUGCUCGAGUGGCGAACGGGUGAGUAACACGUGAGUAACCUGCCCUUGACUUUGGGAUAACUUCAGGAAACUGGGGCUAAUACCGGAUAGGAGCUCCUGCUGCAUGGUGGGGGUUGGAAAGUUUCGGCGGUUGGGGAUGGACUGGCGGCUUAUCAGCUUGUUGGGGGGGUAGUGGCUUACCAAGGCUUUGACGGGUAGCCGGCCUGAGAGGGUGACCGGCCACAUUGGGCCUGGGAUACGGCCCAGACUCCUACGGUAGGCAGCAGUGGGGAAUAUUGCACAAUGGGCGGAAGCCUGAUGCAGCAACGCCGCGUGCGGGAUGCCGGCCUGCGGGUUGUAAACCGCUUUCGCCUGUGACGAAGCGUGAGUGACGGUAAUGGGUAAAGAAGCACCGGCUAACUACGUG